Molecule: ribosomal RNA, 1505 nt
Filed under: uncultured Bordetella sp.
Lineage: Bacteria; Pseudomonadati; Pseudomonadota; Betaproteobacteria; Burkholderiales; Alcaligenaceae
Description: partial 16S-23S ribosomal RNA intergenic spacer
Rfam family: Bacterial small subunit ribosomal RNA
Source: RNAcentral
UGCAUUAAGCUCCUGGGAGCAUCGAAGAGAGAGUUCGAUUAUGGCUCAGAUUGAACGCUGGCGGGAUGCUGCUUUACACAUGCAAGUCGAACGGCAGCACGGACUUCGGUCUGGUGGCGAGUGGCGAACGGCAUACUAUCGGAACGUGCCUAGUAGCGGGGGAUAACUACGCGAAAGCGUAGCUAAUACUGCACACACCUUCGGGAAAGCGGGGGACCUUCGGGCCUCGCACUGUUAGAGCGGCUGGAUAUCGGAUUAGCUAGUUGGUGGGGUAACGGCUCACCAAGGCGACGAUCCGUAGCUGGUUUGAGAGGACGACCAGCCACACUGGACUGAGACACGGCCCAGACUCCUACGGGAGGCACAUGGGGAAUUUUGGACAACGGGGGAAACCCCUGAUCCAGCCAUCCCGCGUGUGCGAUGAAGGCUCUCGGGUUGUAAAGCACUUUUGGCAGGAAAGAAACGGCACGGGAUAAUACCCCGUGCAACUGACGGUACCUGCAGAAUAAGCACCGGCUAACUACGUGCCAGCAGCCGCGGUAAUGCUGUAGGUGCAAGCGUUAAUCGGAAUUACUGGGCGAAGCGUGCGCAGGCGGUUCGGAAAGAAAGAUGUGAAAUCCCAGAGCUUAACUUUUGGAACUGCAUUUUUAACUACCGAGCUAGAGGCCGAGUGGAAUUCCGCGUGUAGCAGUGAAAUGCGUAGAUAUGCGAGAACACCGAUGGCGAAGGCAGCCUCCUGGGAUAACACUGACGCUCAUGCACGAAAGCGUGGGGACAAACAGGAUUAGAUACUUCCUGGUAGUCCACGCCCUAAACGAUGUCAAUCAUUGCUAGCCUUCGCCUUGGUAGCGCAGCUAACGCGUGAAGUUGACCGCCUGGGGAGUACGGUCGCAAGAUUAAAACUCAAAGGAAUUGACGGGGACCGCACAAGCGGUGGAUGAUGUGGAUUAAUUCGAUGCAACGCCAGAAACCUUACCUACCCUUGACAUGUCUGAAUCCCGAAGAGAUUUGGGAGUGCUCGCAAGAGAACCGGAACACAGGUGCUGCAAGCGGCUGUCGUCAACGCCGUGUCGUGAGAUGUUGGGUUAAGUCCUGCAACGAGCAACCUUGUCAUUAGUUGCUACGAAAGGGCACUCUAAUGAGAUCGCCGGUGACAAACCGGAGGAAGGUGGGGAUGACGUCAAGUCCUCAUGGCCCUUGCGGGUAGGGCUUCACACACGUCAUACAAUGGUCGGGACAGAGGGUCGCCAACCCGCGAGGGGAGCCAAUCCCAGAAACCCGAUCGUGGUGGUCCGCUGGAUCGUGGCCUGCAACCUGACUGCGUGAAGUCGGAACUGCCAGUAAUCGCGGAUCAGCAGCACAGCGGUGAAUACGUUCCCGGGUCUUGUAUGAGCACUGCCUGUCACACCAUGGAGUGGGUUUUACCAGAAGUAGUUAGCCUAACCGUAAGGAGUGGCGAUUACCACGGUAGGAUUCAUGACUGGGGUGAAGUCGUAACAAGGUAG